GACGAACGCUGGCGGCGUGCUUAACACAUGCAAGUCGAACGGUAAGGCCCUUCGGGGUACACGAGUGGCGAACGGGUGAGUAACACGUGGGUGAUCUGCCCUGGACUUCGGGAUAAGCCUGGGAAACUGGGUCUAAUACCGGAUAGGACCACUGCCUGCAUGGGUGGUGGUGGAAAGCUUUUGCGGUGUGGGAUGGGCCCGCGGCCUAUCAGCUUGUUGGUGGGGUGAUGGCGUACCAAGGCGACGACGGGGAGCCGGCCUGGGAGGGUGACCAGCCAGACUGGGACUGAGAGACGGCGCAGACUCCUUCGGGAGGCAGCAGUGGGGAAUAUUGCACAAUGGGCGCAAGCCUGAUGCAGCGACGCUGCGUGAGGGAUGACGGCCUUCGGGUUGUAAACCUCUUUCAGCACCGACGAAGCGCAAGUGACGGUAGGCGCAGAAGAAGGACCGGCCAACUACGUGCCAGCCGCCGCAGUAA
Molecule: ribosomal RNA, 478 nt
Filed under: uncultured bacterium
Lineage: Bacteria
Description: partial 16S ribosomal RNA
Rfam family: Bacterial small subunit ribosomal RNA
Source: RNAcentral